Molecule: non-coding RNA, 27 nt
Filed under: Drosophila melanogaster (fruit fly)
Lineage: Eukaryota; Metazoa; Arthropoda; Insecta; Diptera; Drosophilidae
Source: RNAcentral
GUCGAGAUGACGAUGCCGCUGUAGAGU